Molecule: long non-coding RNA, 316 nt
Organism: Zea mays
Lineage: Eukaryota; Viridiplantae; Streptophyta; Magnoliopsida; Poales; Poaceae
Exons: 2
Source: RefSeq, a predicted model, not a curated record
CCCUUCACAUGGUGCGGUGCUGGCAUCGUUGUUGGCGACCUCUGCGCGGUCGGAUCUGCAAAGGUUGCAGCUAGCGCGCCUACAGUACGUCAACAUGGUGCGGCAUCUCUUUUUGCAGAUCCCCAACUUGCUACGCCGCCGGCCGCCGCAUCGGAACUCCUUGCACCGCUUGCCUUUCUUCUCCCAUUCAACCGGCAAGCGUUCCCUGGCUCAAUAACGCAACUGGGGGAUGUCUGUCGCUAUCUCCAUAUAGGAAACGACAGGUGCGACAGAUUUAGAUUUUCAGGUGAUGCGUGGUCGGGAUCGCCGGAUCAAU